Molecule: ribosomal RNA, 440 nt
Filed under: uncultured bacterium
Lineage: Bacteria
Description: partial 16S ribosomal RNA
Rfam family: Bacterial small subunit ribosomal RNA
Source: RNAcentral
CCUACGGGUGGCAGCAGUGGGGGAUAUUGCACAAUGGGGGAAACCCUGAUGCAGCGACGCCGCGUGAGUGAAGAAGUACUUCGGUAUGUAAAGCUCUAUCAGCAGGGUAGAAAAUGACAGUAUCUGCCCAAGACACCCCGGCUAACUAUGUGCCACCAGCAGCGGUAAGACGUAGGGGGCAAGCGUUUUCCGGGUGGACUGGGUGCAAAGGGAGCGUAGACGGUUAUGUAAAUCUGGAGUGAAAGCCCGGGGCCCAACCCCGGGACUACUUUGGAAACUGUGUAACUGGAGUACAGGAGGGGCAGGCGGAAUUCCUGGUGUAGCGGUGAAAUGCGUAGAUAUCAGGAGGAACACCGGCGGCGAAGGCGGCCUGCUGGACUGAAACUGACGUUGAGGCUCGAAAGCGUGGGGAGCAAACAGGAUUAGAUACCCGUGUAGUC